Molecule: ribosomal RNA, 253 nt
Filed under: uncultured bacterium
Lineage: Bacteria
Description: partial 16S ribosomal RNA
Rfam family: Bacterial small subunit ribosomal RNA
Source: RNAcentral
UACAGAGGGUGCAAGCGUUAAUCGGAAUUACUGGGCGUAAAGCGUGCGUAGACGGUUAUUUAAGUCGGGUGUGAAAGCCCCGGGCUCAACCUGGGAAUUGCAUUCGAGACUGAAUAGCUAGGGUGCGGAGGAGGGGAGCGGAAUUUCCGGUGUAGCGGUGAAAUGCGUAGAUAUCGGAAGGAACACCAGUGGCGAAAGCGGCUUCCUGGUCCAGCACCGACGUUCAGGCACGAAAGCGUGGGGAGCAAACAGG